AAAUUGAAGAGUUUGAUCAUGGCUCAGAUUGAACGCUGGCGGCAGGCCUAACACAUGCAAGUCGAACGGUAACAGGAAGAAGCUUGCUUCUUUGCUGACGAGUGGCGGACGGGUGAGUAAUGUCUGGGAAACUGCCUGAUGGAGGGGGAUAACUACUGGAAACGGUAGCUAAUACCGCAUAACGUCGCAAGACCAAAGAGGGGGACCUUCGGGCCUCUUGCCAUCGGAUGUGCCCAGAUGGGAUUAGCUUGUUGGUGGGGUAACGGCUCACCAAGGCGACGAUCCCUAGCUGGUCUGAGAGGAUGACCAGCCACACUGGAACUGAGACACGGUCCAGACUCCUACGGGAGGCAGCAGUGGGGAAUAUUGCACAAUGGGCGCAAGCCUGAUGCAGCCAUGCCGCGUGUAUGAAGAAGGCCUUCGGGUUGUAAAGUACUUUCAGCGGGGAGGAAGGGAGUAAAGUUAAUACCUUUGCUCAUUGACGUUACCCGCAGAAGAAGCACCGGCUAACUCCGUGCCAGCAGCCGCGGUAAUACGGAGGGUGCAAGCGUUAAUCGGAAUUACUGGGCGUAAAGCGCACGCAGGCGGUUUGUUAAGUCAGAUGUGAAAUCCCCGGGCUCAACCUGGGAACUGCAUCUGAUACUGGCAAGCUUGAGUCUCGUAGAGGGGGGUAGAAUUCCAGGUGUAGCGGUGAAAUGCGUAGAGAUCUGGAGGAAUACCGGUGGCGAAGGCGGCCCCCUGGACGAAGACUGACGCUCAGGUGCGAAAGCGUGGGGAGCAAACAGGAUUAGAUACCCUGGUAGUCCACGCCGUAAACGAUGUCGACUUGGAGGUUGUGCCCUUGAGGCGUGGCUUCCGGAGCUAACGCGUUAAGUCGACCGCCUGGGGAGUACGGCCGCAAGGUUAAAACUCAAAUGAAUUGACGGGGGCCCGCACAAGCGGUGGAGCAUGUGGUUUAAUUCGAUGCAACGCGAAGAACCUUACCUGGUCUUGACAUCCACGGAAGUUUUCAGAGAUGAAAAUGUGCCUUCGGGAACCGUGAGACAGGUGCUGCAUGGCUGUCGUCAGCUCGUGUUGUGAAAUGUUGGGUUAAGUCCCGCAACGAGCGCAACCCUUAUCCUUUGUUGCCAGCGGUCCGGCCGGGAACUCAAAGGAGACUGCCAGUGAUAAACUGGAGGAAGGUGGGGAUGACGUCAAGUCAUCAUGGCCCUUACGACCAGGGCUACACACGUGCUACAAUGGCGCAUACAAAGAGAAGCGACCUCGCGAGAGCAAGCGGACCUCAUAAAGUGCGUCGUAGUCCGGAUUGGAGUCUGCAACUCGACUCCAUGAAGUCGGAAUCGCUAGUAAUCGUGGAUCAGAAUGCCACGGUGAAUACGUUCCCGGGCCUUGUACACACCGCCCGUCACACCAUGGGAGUGGGUUGCAAAAGAAGUAGGUAGCUUAACCUUCGGGAGGGCGCUUACCACUUUGUGAUUCAUGACUGGGGUGAAGUCGUAACAAGGUAACCGUAGGGGAACCUGCGGUUGGAUCACCUCCUUACCUUAAAGAAGC
RNAcentral lists this ribosomal RNA (1554 nucleotides) under Escherichia coli. Its description in RNAcentral is "bacterial SSU rRNA". It matches the Rfam family "Bacterial small subunit ribosomal RNA". The record is from RNAcentral. Lineage: Bacteria; Pseudomonadati; Pseudomonadota; Gammaproteobacteria; Enterobacterales; Enterobacteriaceae.